GAUGAACGCUAGCUACAGGCUUAACACAUGCAAGUCGAGGGGAAACGAUGAGAGAGCUUGCUCUCUUAGUCGUCGACCGGCGCACGGGUGAGUAACGCGUAUCCAACCUGCCUCUGACCAAGGGAUAACCCGUCGAAAGUCGGACUAAUACCUUAUGCAGUCGUCGGAAGUCAUCUGAUGACGACGAAAGAUUUCAUCGGUGAGAGAUGGGGAUGCGUCUGAUUAGCUUGUUGGCGGGGUAACCGCCCAACAAGGCGACGAUCAGUAGGGGUUCUGGGGGGAAGGUCCCCCAAAUUGGAACUGAGACCCGGUCCAAACUCCGACGGGAGGGAGCAGUGAGGAACAUUGGUCAAUGGGCGUAAGCCUGAACCAGCCAAGUAGCGUGCAGGAUGACGGCGCUAUGGGUUGUAAACUGCUUUUAUGCGGGGAUAAAGUGAGGGACGUGUCCUUCAUUGAAGGUACCGAAUGAAUAAGGACCGGCUAAUUCCGUG
This 491-nucleotide ribosomal RNA is filed under the name uncultured bacterium. Its description in RNAcentral is "partial 16S ribosomal RNA". It matches the Rfam family "Bacterial small subunit ribosomal RNA", at positions 28 to 507 of the family's 1533-position model. The record is from RNAcentral.